UGAAGAGUCAAAAGAAAGUUUUCUUAGACUCAAGGUCUGGCAGCAGUGCUCUUUUAUUCAGAGAAUAGUGUGGAAUAGCAUGGGGACGGGACCCAUGAGCAGUCAGAGCUGCUGCUGCAUGGGGACAGGACCCAUUGGCAGUGAAGAGCUACUGCAAACCUGGGUUGAAGGUAGGGCUAAAUUUAAGGCAUAGGUAUGUGAGUUAUCUCUUUACAAGACAAACGAAAGAAUAUGGAAAAAAAAGUUGUUAAAAUGGUAUCAGUGCAGGUGGGGUCUGGUUAUUGGGUGGUCCUAUAGCUUUAGAUAAGAAUCAGACCAGAUUAAGUCAGGAUGUCCUAUGCUUCCCAGAGGAUGUUGGUGGUGGGAGGAGUCAUCUAUGUGACGUUACCAGACAAGCACAAUAAACAAGACUUAAGUCCUUGCGGUCCCCAUUAAGAGUUUCUAGAGAUAAGGUCAUCCCCUCUUCCUCCUGGUGCAGAGAGGGAGACACCCUCACAGAUGGAGACUUCCUUCACAAAUGCAAAUGUCUCUUAACAAAGGAAAGGACUUUGCAGAUAUGAUUAAGUUGAAGAUCUUGAGAUGGAGAGAUUAUCCUGGAUUUUUGGAGUGGACCUUAAAUGUAAUCACAAGUGUCUUUAAAGAAAGAGGGAGAGGGAGAAGAAAGAAAGCAUGCAACCAAGGAAGCAGCGAGAGAUUUGAAGAUGCUAUGCUGCUAAAUUUAAAAUGGAGGAAGGAGCCACCAGCCAAGGAAUGCAAAGAAUGCAGCUCUAGAAGCUGGAAAAGGCAAGAAAAUAGAUUCUCCCUUCAGAACCUUCAGAAGGAACCAACUCUGCUGAUACCUUGACUUUUAGCCCAGUGAAACUGAUUUCAGACUUGUAGCUUCCAGACCUGGAAGAGAAUACAUUUGCAUUGUUAUAGCAGCGAAAGGGAACUAAUAAACCCACCCCUGUCACAGUUUUAGCUCCCUUCCUUGCAAGUGCCUGGCUCUUGGUCUGUAUUCACCACGAGACUGUAAACUCUUUGAGGACAAGCAUUAUGUCUUAUUCACAAUGACUUUCAAUGAGUCUAGCAGAAUGCCUGCCACGAAUGUGCUCAAUUGAUAUUUCUUGAAUAUUGUUAAAUAAAUUAUGGCAUAUUUUCAUAAUAGAACAUGUAUAUACCAUUAACAUGGACCUGUAGAAAAAUAUUUAAUGUCAUUACAAAGUGAGAAUAUAUCUCGUGAAAAUUGUGUUUCUUAAAAAUAUAUAUGCUAUGAUUCAAAAUUUAUAAACUAUAUAUGUACUUAUGUGUAGAAUAGUCAUAAAGAUUAAGGACACAGAUCUCUAGUUGUU
This 1331-nucleotide long non-coding RNA is filed under the name Equus asinus (donkey). Its description in RNAcentral is "lncRNA (ENSEASG00005025722.1)". The record is from RNAcentral. Lineage: Eukaryota; Metazoa; Chordata; Mammalia; Perissodactyla; Equidae.